Molecule: ribosomal RNA, 327 nt
Filed under: uncultured bacterium
Lineage: Bacteria
Description: bacterial SSU rRNA
Rfam family: Bacterial small subunit ribosomal RNA
Source: RNAcentral
GAUGAACGCUGGCGGCGUGCUUAACACAUGCAAGUCGAACGAAGAUAUUUAAAAUGAGAGCUUCGGCAGGAAUUUUUUCUAUCUUAGUGGCGGACGGGUGAGUAACGUGUGGGCAACCUGCCCUGCACUGGGGAAUAAUCAUUGGAAACGAUGACUAAUACCGCAUACGGUUCUUUGGGGGCAUCCCUGAGGAAAGAAAGGAUUUAUUCGGUGCAGGAUGGGCCCGCAUCUGAUUAGCUAGUUGGUGGGAUAACAGCCUACCAAGGCGACGAUCAGUAGCCGACCUGAGAGGGUGACCGGCCACAUUGGGACUGAGACACGGCCCAA